Molecule: long non-coding RNA, 1223 nt
Organism: Saccostrea cuccullata (small rock oyster)
Lineage: Eukaryota; Metazoa; Mollusca; Bivalvia; Ostreida; Ostreidae
Exons: 3
Source: RefSeq, a predicted model, not a curated record
AUGGCUGUGGCACGGAGGCAGUGUGGUGUGUAGGUCCUCAAGCAUUUUGACGAUUUACAUAUAUCGGCCAUGAAUCCAGUGAAAGACCUUUUUGCUAAAGGUUUAGCACUGUACCACACAUCUUGUAGACCAGGAAGAGAGAGAGCUUCCUUGAAACAGGUAUCGAAAAGAAGGAGCCUCAUGACAUCCAAUGCCUCCCUGGAAAUUUUUUUGUUGUGUUUCGUGUCUGAGGGUGGCAUAUUCCAGGCCAUUUUCAUCUUUUGAGAAAUUGAACGAGUCCUUGCGGAUCUGAUGGUGGAAUUCUAAGCCACGGGAAAUGAAAUGAAUGGACAAGUUGUACCACACACAUUGUCGGAGAACAACAGGGGAGGAUGAAGCACAUUUGAAAUAGGUAGAGAUUCUCUGUAAAUCCUCAGUGUGGAUUACUUCUUUGUGAUUUGUGGCCCUUGAUGCCCCAGUUUUUGUCAUGCAUUUCAACAUCCCAUCAAGGGUAUGAUUGGCAGAUUUAAAUUCUUUGUCUCUGACGACAUCAAUUGACCUACCCAAAUCCUGCAGGUGUCUAUUUAUGGCAGAUCGGAGACUUUUCAAAGAAUUUUUGUGAUUGCCUUGCAUCCUGGAAAUUCUGCAAUUCAUCCUCAGAAACAGAUUUGAAUCUCUUUGCUGAUGGGGGUGUAGGAACAGGCACCCCGGGACAUGGCAGACCCUCCAUAUCUGAGACUUUCAGUUCCUGUUCCAUUUCUUCAGUUUCCUCAACACUCAGAGGUGCCAUAAAGGAAAGGUCUAGUGAUGCAAAUAUGUCAUCAUCUAGCAGAAGGUAUAAUUCUGCGUCACCCAUAUCAAAAUCGCCAAAUUCAGCCAUUAUAGAGACUAGAGUGACUUGGGGUCAGUGUAGCAGACGGGAAUUUAGAAAAACAUAAGUAAGAAAUUGUUUUGUAGAAAUGUUUUAUUAUUGAUUGAAGCCCAUUGCUGUGUUUACAAAUAAAAUCAUAAAAACAAUCUGAGAUGUUAGUUUAAUCUAUUUUUAGACUUCUGCAACAAGCGGAUGAGAUCGAUCAAUAUUGUGUAUUGCCUUAGUAAAAAUAGUCCCAUAACCUAGUUUUCACAAAUAUUCAUACGCACAUCUAUGACCUCUUAACCCCGUAAUGGAAUUUAUACAGUUAUAGAUACGCAUUGCUUUUAAUAGUGUUAUAUAAAGAAAAACAUUUGCAAAUGUAAAUAUUUCU